AGUGAACGCUGGCGGUAGGCCUAACACAUGCAAGUCGAACGGCAGCACAGUAAGAGCUUGCUCUUACGGGUGGCGAGUGGCGGACGGGUGAGGAAUAAAUCGGAAUCUACUUUUUCGUGGGGGAUAACGUAGGGAAACUUACGCUAAUACCGCAUACGACCUACGGGUGAAAGCAGGGGAUCUUCGGACCUUGCGCGAUUGAAUGAGCCGAUGUCAGAUUAGCUAGUUGGCGGGGUAAAGGCCCACCAAGGCGACGAUCCGUAGCUGGUCUGAGAGGAUGAUCAGCCACACUGGAACUGAGACACGGUCCAGACUCCUACGGGAGGCAGCAGUGGGGAAUAUUGGACAAUGGGCGCAAGCCUGAUCCAGCCAUACCGCGUGGGUGAAGAAGGCCUUCGGGUUGUAAAGCCCUUUUGUUGGGAAAGAAAAGCAGCAGGUUAAUACCCCGCUGUUCUGACGGUACCCAAAGAAUAAGCACCGGCUAACUUCGUG
This 492-nucleotide ribosomal RNA is filed under the name uncultured bacterium. Its description in RNAcentral is "partial 16S ribosomal RNA". It matches the Rfam family "Bacterial small subunit ribosomal RNA", at positions 29 to 507 of the family's 1533-position model. The record is from RNAcentral.